AAACUGACUGAUCCUGCCAGUAGUCAUAUGCUUGUCUCAAAGAUUAAGCCAUGCAUGUCUAAGUACAUACCUUACAACGAUGAAACCGAGAAUGGCUCAUUAAAUCAGCUAUGGUUGCUUAGAUCAUAUAUAUAUAGUACAUGGAUAACUGUAGUAAUUCUAGAGCAAAUACAUGCAAUUAUGCCAUGACCCCAAGGGAAUGGGUGCAUUUAUUAGAACAGAACCAACCGGGAGCAGUUUCGGCUGUCUCUGUUGAAUUCUGUAAUGACUCUGGAUAACUUUAAUGAUCGCGGUUGGCCUUGUGUCGGCGACGGAUCUUUCAA
This 323-nucleotide non-coding RNA is filed under the name Trichobilharzia regenti. RNAcentral describes it as "Eukaryotic small subunit ribosomal RNA". It matches the Rfam family "Eukaryotic small subunit ribosomal RNA", at positions 1 to 302 of the family's 1831-position model. The record is from Rfam by way of RNAcentral. Lineage: Eukaryota; Metazoa; Platyhelminthes; Trematoda; Strigeidida; Schistosomatidae.